AUCGCGAUAGCUCAGCUAUUAGAGCAUCUGCCCGGUAGGCAGAGGGUCGCCGGUUCGACUCCGGUCCGCGGUG
RNAcentral lists this transfer RNA (73 nucleotides) under Fasciola hepatica (liver fluke). It matches the Rfam family "tRNA". Rfam says of the family: Transfer RNA (tRNA) molecules are approximately 80 nucleotides in length. Lineage: Eukaryota; Metazoa; Platyhelminthes; Trematoda; Plagiorchiida; Fasciolidae. The record is from Rfam by way of RNAcentral.